CAGAAUUGCUUUAUCCGCAACUUCUUCAGGUCAACGAUGCAGGCUUUACUUAUAGCCAAAAUAUCAGACAUUUCACUUGGUCAGAAAAGAUUGAUUAUGUUUGAAAUGGCUCAUAAUUAUUUCCGUUCGAUAGUGGGCAUGCCGUUUCAUUCGUGGUCACCGUCAUUGGCACAAACAACACUGUUUGAUAUUUCUUGCCUGGUUUUCUUCUAUUUUCCUAACUCUUGAUUUAAACGUUCGUGCCGGUUUGUCCUCAAAGGGGGGAUGAAUGAUUUAACGUCUCUUCGGACGAUUUAAUAUUCCUUCAAAAGCGUGCCUCAGGCGAUUCGAUGUUUUUUACCACCCAUAUGUUGUAAACACCUAGCUAUUUGCAACGGGUGCAUUUGACGGACGGAAUUCUCAGUCUUUAGGACUCCGAAGGUGAAAUCAUACUUCAGUUGUUUUUGUUGCUAUACAGAUUCGCCCGAAAUGACACUUCUUCGCUAACGAGAGACGGUAACGAUUCUAGAGCCAAAAUUAUAAUCCAAGCGUGCGUGAACGGUCACCAUGUUUAUUUUGCGCUGAAGGUUAAGUGCGCCUCUCGAAAUUCGCGGCAACGAUCUUUUUUAUCAAUUUAUAUACCAAAGGCUGUAACAUCGUCGCACCUUAUUUCACGCCAAAUAUUUUCAUCUGUAGUAAACACAUUCUCAUUUUUGAAUAUUCAAUAUUACAUAACAACGAAAUUCGCUUCUGAAAGUUUCUGAUGAGAAACGAUGAGAUGAUGCCGAUACCCGACUACUCGGCAGAUGAUGGAUGAAAAAAAGUUAAAACAAAACGCACGAGCAAAACGUGAAAUACGUUGGACUUUAGCUUCCAUUCAAGAUCGGCUCGUUAUAGUUUCGAUCCUCAGAACGGACGACGAGACGAGCAUUGAGCUGCAACGCCGUUUAUACGCCGGGCGACACUGGAUCGCUGGAUUGAUGGCAGAUUGAUUGAUAUUCCAACGCCGUGUAACCUGUCGACCGAGGAUGCGACGCGAUGUCCACUUCCAGUCCGCCAUUCCCGUUUCAUUCCUGUGUGGAUACCAUGCUUAUGGAACAUGUUUCGAGGUGGAUGCAGAGCGAAAAUUUUGGGACACCGGAACAAAGUAUGCAAAAGCGGCGAUCAACGUCCGACGAGACUAAGGUGCCUGGCAUUAGCAGCAAGUAUCCGGAUGCCACGUGCAACGUGCGUUGACAGAGAACUUUGAACAGGCAAUACAUUAUGUAUGCGGACUCGCAGGCUUCAUCAGUGACAUAUGACGGCUAGGAAUGUCGCCAUAUAUACAGGAAACAUUUACGUUGGUUAUACGCAGAAUUGAACGGAGGUGGAUGCAUGAUGGUGAAAGAUUGUUACUGCCUGGGACUUGUACAAGUGAGCAGAUGAAAGCCUGCAGGGAUGUCGGACAGCGGUGAGGGCGACAUACCUGCCAUGUGUUAUACGCAUUAUAUGCAUGCAUGUAUGGAUAUUAUACGACGUGAGUCUACGCGGAACAAGGGACACUCGAUCCUUGGUUCUCGGAAGGGGACUCCAGUUACGAAAUAUCUUAUACAUGCCUGACAAUGUCGUUUAGAAAGAGCAAAAUGAUUUUGGGAGGUGAGACGAACCUUCUCGAUGCAGGAUUUAAGGGGGCUGCCCAAGGUCCCUGUAACUCAAACGCGAAAACGGGCAUAACGGUCCCAUUCUAUAUACAAUUUUGUACAAAAAUACUCCAAUGUAUUUUUAUUCGAUGGAGAAAUAAAGUAAUGCCAUGAAUUCUACGAAUUUACUAUUGCGAUUUCAAUAUCGUGCUUGAUAAAAUUAAGUAAAUAAUCGGUAACUGGCAACCGAAAGCAAUAGCUAGA
This 1862-nucleotide long non-coding RNA is filed under the name Neodiprion pinetum (white pine sawfly). RNAcentral describes it as "uncharacterized LOC124220629". Lineage: Eukaryota; Metazoa; Arthropoda; Insecta; Hymenoptera; Diprionidae. The record is from RNAcentral.